Vespa mandarinia (Asian giant hornet) is the source of this 611-nucleotide long non-coding RNA. The record is from RefSeq and is a predicted model, not a curated record. Lineage: Eukaryota; Metazoa; Arthropoda; Insecta; Hymenoptera; Vespidae.
UGACAUUCUGCCACCUGGUAAUAAGGAUACCAUAUAGCCCCAAAAAUAAGCGGAUAAAAUAAGACCUUGAAGAGGUUCGUCCCAUACAAAAGGGCCAUCCUGCAAAAUAAUUUAUUCUAUCACAGACUUUAUUCUCUAAGACUGACCUCACAGAGAUCAUACCUUAUCGCUGGAGGUAUGUUUGAUAAGCCAAAGAGAAGGAAGAUUGAUUACCUCGGUAGAAGAUACUGUUGUGUUUGAAAUUGCAUCAUCUCGACAAGCUUCCGUUAUUUUUAAACUUGCAUUUUCACUUUUUAAUUCAUCGUGCAUCGAUGAAAGUCGUACGGCUGUAUGAUUCACCAUCGCGACGAUAGCUACGCUGACAUUAACUUUAAAACCAUAUAUAAUAGCCAAACCGAUGGAUCCAAGUAUGGCCAUUAAAUAUCGGACUGGAAAUAGUGGGCCAUGUCGGCCUGUAAAUAAAAUUCCCCGUUAUUAAACUCUUCUUAUCCUCCUAUAACAAUUUUUUCUCGUUGCAAUUAGAAUAGAUCUAACAGACCCAACUCAAUUCUAAUUCAAAUUUACAAGUUUAUUGAAUCAAAAAAAAAAAAAAAAAAGGAAAAAAAACUUUG